GCCAGGCAUAGUGGCAUGCACCUGUAUUCCCAGCUACUUAGGAGGCUGAGGUAGGAGGAUCACUUGAGCCCAGGAGUUCUGGGACGUAGUGUGCUAUGCCAAUCAGGUGUCCACACUAAGUUCGGCAUCAGUAUGGUGAGCUCCCAGGAGGGGAGACCACCAGGUUACCUAAGGAUGGGUGAACUGGCCCAGGUUGCAAAUGGAGCAGGUUAAUGUCCCAUGCUAACCAGUAAUGAGAUUGCAUCUAUGAAUAGCCACUGCACUCCGACCUGGUUCACAUAGUGAGACCCAUCUCU
This 296-nucleotide signal recognition particle RNA is filed under the name Carlito syrichta (Philippine tarsier). Its description in RNAcentral is "Metazoan signal recognition particle RNA (ENSTSYG00000026435.1)". It matches the Rfam family "Metazoan signal recognition particle RNA". From Rfam's summary of the family: The signal recognition particle (SRP) is a universally conserved ribonucleoprotein. The record is from RNAcentral. Lineage: Eukaryota; Metazoa; Chordata; Mammalia; Primates; Tarsiidae.